Myripristis murdjan (pinecone soldierfish) is the source of this 142-nucleotide long non-coding RNA. RefSeq lists it as uncharacterized. The transcript has 3 exons. Lineage: Eukaryota; Metazoa; Chordata; Actinopteri; Holocentriformes; Holocentridae. The record is from RefSeq and is a predicted model, not a curated record.
AACAGUGCUGCUGCUUUUAGGAAAACUAAUAUGGACGACUUUAUUAUAGUGACGGGAUACUGGUGUGAAGAAAGUUUGAAGUCUCUGAAAGUUCAUUUUCAUAUCAUAGUGGGAUGAACGGAAAUCAAUGGCCGGAUAAAAG